GCCCCAGCCUAGUACCUACAGUGCCUACACUACGCACUAGGCUACCAGUGCGUAUCCUGAGCCCUGUUCUUCCUCCACGCACUCUCCCUGUAGUGCGUGUAUAUAGCCCGGUGCCUCCAGUUCCGGCACCACGCACUACGUCGUUUUCUUGUUUUGUAUUUUUGAAAGUGUUUUGUUUUUUUCGUGUUGCCAUCAGCGUUAUAAAUAAAAAGAUGGCUUAUUUCCCUCAAGCUGCAUUUUGGUCUGAAGAUCCUUCUCUCCUCACCUCGUCCGAGGAUGAGGAGAGAGACAGCCGUUACACUUGGUGGUUCUUGCAGGAACCUAACUACCAAACUGAAACAUUUGGAUUUGAGAUGACAGCAAGUGCAGGCAUUUAACUGGAAAAUUGAAAGAUCUCCUCAAUUUAAGAAAAUGGACACAAUUCAAUGGAUAUCCAUCAACAAAGAGGACUCUGUCACAGCAGCCAUCUUCCUCCUCCCUUACCUCUCCAAUGAAGAUCCCAGAGCCCUCAUUAUGGACAAGACUUCACCUUCCCUACACCUCUGAUGAAUAUAACAGGAAACCUGUUAGAUCACCAUGCAUUGCAAAAUUAUUCUGGCUAUUCAUAGCCUACGGAGGACAUCAACAGCAACACGCCAGACUCGUUUUAAAGGGUUCUUCAAAUAACUUAUAGGGGUUAACCUACCCGUUUCAUUUUGAAGAAUCCCUGAAGGAUCCUCCUGGAAUCUUUUAUUUUUAGUGUAACAUGGCGUGACGCAACCAAGUGACGGAGGUGCAACCCAUAAAUAGAGAAAAUAUGAUCUGGGUCCAGAUAUGGUGUACUUUUGUGUGACGUGGUUGUGUGAAACUCUACACCUUUUCUCUCUAUGUUCCCUAAAGAAAAGGUAAUAGCCAGUAUGUGUUGUCAAUUGUGUCACGUUCUGACCCUAGUUCUUUUGUUAUUUCCUUGUUUUAGUGUGGUCAGAGCGUGAGUUGGGUGGGUUAUCUAUGUUGUUUUUUUUCGUUUGGCCUGGUAUGAUUCUCAAUCAGAGGCAGGUGUCUUUAGUUGUCUCUGAUUGAGAAUCAUACUUAGGUAGCCUUUUUUCACCUGGGUUUCGUGGGUGGUUAUUUUCUGUGUCAGUGUUUGUCCCACACGGAACUGUUUCGGUUUGUAGUUCACGUAUCGUUUAUUGUUUUGUUUCUGUGUUCGUUUGUCUCAUUAAAAUAUA
Long non-coding RNA from Salvelinus fontinalis (brook trout), 1208 nucleotides. RefSeq lists it as uncharacterized. The record is from RefSeq and is a predicted model, not a curated record. Lineage: Eukaryota; Metazoa; Chordata; Actinopteri; Salmoniformes; Salmonidae. The transcript has 4 exons.